This is a non-coding RNA of Capitella teleta, 70 nucleotides long. The record is from Rfam. NCBI's taxonomy places the organism in Eukaryota, Metazoa, Annelida, Polychaeta, Capitellidae.
CUCACGUUGUGACCGUUAUAAUGGGCAUGAAGUCAUUCUGAGCAAUGCUCCUUAUAACGAUCUCAAGGCG